RNAcentral lists this transfer RNA (76 nucleotides) under Candidatus Omnitrophica bacterium 4484_70.2. RNAcentral's name for it is "tRNA-Pro". It matches the Rfam family "tRNA". Rfam says of the family: Transfer RNA (tRNA) molecules are approximately 80 nucleotides in length. Their secondary structure includes four short double-helical elements and three loops (D, anti-codon, and T loops). Lineage: Bacteria; Pseudomonadati; Candidatus Omnitrophota. The record is from RNAcentral.
CGGGGCGUAGCUCAGAUUGGAUUAGAGCGCUAGAAUGGGGUUCUAGAGGUCGCCGGUUCAAGUCCGGCCGCCCCGA